UUCGGGGUGCGCAGGCGCGAAAACUUUACAAUGCGGGAAACCGUGAUAAGGGGACACCGAGUGCCAGCAUCAUAUGCUGGCUGUCCGGGUGUGUAAAAUACACCCGUUAGCAAGGGCCGGGCAAGACCGGUGCCAGCCGCCGCGGUAACACCGGCGGCCCGAGUGGUGAUCGUGAUUAUUGGGUCUAAAGGGUCCGUAGCCGGUUUGGUCAGUCCUCCGGGAAAUCUGACGGCUCAACCGUUAGGCUUUCGGGGGAUACUGCCAGGCUUGGAACCGGGAGAGGUAAGAGGUACUACAGGGGUAGGAGUGAAAUCUUGUAAUCCCUGUGAGACCACCUGUGGCGAAGGCGUCUUACCAGAACGGGUUCGACGGUGAGGGACGAAAGCUGGGGGCACGAACCGGAUUAGAUACCCGGGUAGUCCCAGCCGUAAACGAUGCUCGCUAGGUGUCAGGCAUGGCGCGACCGUGUCUGGUGCCGCAGGGAAGCCGUGAAGCGAGCCACCUGGGAAGUACGGCCGCAAGGCUGAAACUUAAAGGAAUUGGCGGGGGAGCAC
Molecule: ribosomal RNA, 554 nt
Filed under: uncultured archaeon
Lineage: Archaea
Description: bacterial SSU rRNA
Rfam family: Archaeal small subunit ribosomal RNA
Source: RNAcentral